This 252-nucleotide ribosomal RNA is filed under the name uncultured bacterium. RNAcentral's name for it is "partial 16S ribosomal RNA". It matches the Rfam family "Bacterial small subunit ribosomal RNA", at positions 524 to 776 of the family's 1533-position model. The record is from RNAcentral.
UACGUAGGUCCCGAGCGUUGUCCGGAUUUAUUGGGCGUAAAGCGAGCGCAGGUGGUUUAUUAAGUCUGGUGUAAAAGGCAGUGACUCAACCAUUGUAUGCAUUGGAAACUGGUAGACUUGAGUGCAGGAGAGGAGAGUGGAAUCCCAUGUGUAGCGGUGAAAUGCGUAGAUAUAUGGAGGAACACCGGUGGCGAAAGCGGCUCUCUGGCCUGUAACUGACACUGAGGCUCGAAAGCGUGGGGAGCAAACAGG